UCCUCGAUAGCUCAGUCUGGCAGAGCAGGGUGCUGUUAACACCAAGGUCACAGGUUCAAAUCCUGUUUGGGGAGC
RNAcentral lists this transfer RNA (75 nucleotides) under Arthrobacter phage Atuin. Its description in RNAcentral is "tRNA-Asn". It matches the Rfam family "tRNA". From Rfam's summary of the family: Transfer RNA (tRNA) molecules are approximately 80 nucleotides in length. Their secondary structure includes four short double-helical elements and three loops (D, anti-codon, and T loops). Lineage: Duplodnaviria; Heunggongvirae; Uroviricota; Caudoviricetes. RNAcentral also lists the same sequence under 3 other names. The record is from RNAcentral.